AGUUUUUGAGACAGUGACUUAUUGUGCUGACUAUGCUAGCAGCAAACUCCAGGACUCAAGAAUUCCCUCCACUUCAGCCUCUUGAGGAGCCUGCAUUACAGCCCACCCACUUCUCCAGGUCAAGUCUCCAUGCAGAAGCCCACAGAGCUGCCCUUUUAGGACACUUGGGUGACUUUAGCUCAGAACUUGAAUAAGGAGAAUGUCAAUCCCUCCUCUCUCCAGUAAUUCAGCUGGGUGACCUUGAAUAAGCACUCUGCCUCCCUCAG
RNAcentral lists this long non-coding RNA (266 nucleotides) under Heterocephalus glaber (naked mole-rat). RNAcentral describes it as "lncRNA (ENSHGLG00100034878.1)". The record is from RNAcentral. Lineage: Eukaryota; Metazoa; Chordata; Mammalia; Rodentia; Bathyergidae.